Nilaparvata lugens (brown planthopper) is the source of this 4032-nucleotide RNA transcript. It is a transcript of the gene named phosphatidate phosphatase LPIN1, with no coding region annotated. NCBI's taxonomy places the organism in Eukaryota, Metazoa, Arthropoda, Insecta, Hemiptera, Delphacidae. The transcript is spliced from 20 exons. The record is from RefSeq and is a predicted model, not a curated record.
CUGAUUAUUGAGAGGCACGUCAUUUCAAGGCUCGAAUCUCAAGCCGACGGUCUCUCAAACUCAAGCUCAAACAUUCAGUAGCUCAGUACGCGUCCAACAGUCGUUUCUGUAGGUUGGUUUGGUACCAAGCUCAAUCCAAAAUAAUUGUGUAUCAGUUAUCGCCGCCAACAAUAAUUGUUAUGUGGUAAUACUGACAUAUAGUGUUGAUUGGAUAUUUGAAAACAAAGAGAAGGCGUCUCUCAAUAAUACUGUGCAAUAAUCACUCAACAACUCAAUUGAGUCGAGUUGCUUCUAUAACUUUGAAAACAGCGAGUUAAUAACAGCUAUAAUAUUGUGAAGUGACUAAUCGCAGCAAAUUCCAAUUCCAAUGACUAUUGGAAAAUGUGUUGCUCGGGUUCAUUGACACUGCAGUUGAAUUUUCUCUAGUGUUAAUUUGUUAGGAAGUUGGAAUUUCAGUUCUGGAAAGAACUACCUCUUUAUCAUCGAGAAGUGUGUAAUGGUAUGCACAGCAUGAACUACUUGGGCAAAGUGAUCAGUAACUUCCGGUAUGCUUACAACGAGAUCAAUGCUGCGACUCUGACAGGGGCGAUCGAUGUGGUGGUCGUCGAGCAGCCUGAUGGCUCCUAUUCGUGCUCUCCCUUCCAUGUGCGCUUCGGAAAAAUCGGCGUUCUUCGCAGUAAGGAGAAAGUGGUGGACAUCGAGAUAAAUGGCGAGCCUGUUGACAUUCAUAUGAAAUUAGGAGAAUCUGGUGAGGCUUUUUUCGUUGAAGAAGUUGCACCAGGCGAAGAAGGAAUAGAUGAGUUUAUUCCUCCACACCUUGCUUGCUCACCGAUUCCUACAGAGUCGACAUUUGCAGAUCGAUUCUCGGCUGAAAUAGCGAAAGCAGAUCAGUGGAGUUUUGAUGUACACCGUGAUUCAGUGGAGCGAGAUGCGCAGGGAAACGAGUGCGACGAGGAAGAGGAGGAUGAAGAAAGGUCGGCAGAAAAGGGGCCGAUAGUGGUGCUGGCCGGCGGCAACCUGCCGAAAACGUUCAAGGCAGAGACGCUGGGCUCGGCGGCCGACAAGAGUCAAGUGGCCAGGAAGCUGAGCACGGUCAGCGGAGACUUCCGGCCAAUCGCCGAGACAGAUGACGUCACCGACGACUUUCGGCCAAUCGCCGCCGAGACCGAUGACGUCAAGCAGAGUGCAAGCACCACCGACCUCACCCUCGACGAGCCUCCUCUCUCUGCCUCAUCCUCGCUACCCUCCAACAAGCGCAAGCGCAGGAAGAAGUCGCUCAUGAAGAAGAAGAACAACCAUACCAACAGCAGCAGCACUCCUUCCAGCAGCUUCAACGCCAACAAUAGCAAGAAGUUGAUCGGUGCCAUCGAGAAAUCUGUCGAAGUUAGUGAUACCAUCGUCAAUCAACCGGUUGAUGCGGAUAGUAUUUUCCAGAUCGAGGAUAUUGAGCAGAAUGGUGGUUCAACAAUUCAGAAAGAGAGAGAAGAUUUCAAUCCCUGUGAUAAUGAAGGUGAACUGUCUCGUAUUCAAAACACUCCUCAAGAUUUGCAUUUCUUCAGUGAUACCGAAGUCACUCCUGGCUGCAGUCCUCACGAUGCUCGUCAGUACACACCGGUGCAAAGUGACACCGAGUUUGAAACGAAAAGGAUGCUAACCAGUGCAGAGAAUGAGAAUUGCAAGGGCUCUGACGAUCCUCCACAGCAGUCGUGGCGCUGGGGAGAGCUGCCAACCUCUAGUCAUGAUGACUCCGUCAAGCCUGAUGAUGCACAACGUUCGGUGUUAUACAACAUGCUGGGCUUCAUGAAGAGAACAAAGCAGCAGAGAAGGGGUACACAAGGAAUGUAUCUGUCAGAUAUCAAUAGCAUCGAAGAUCUUGAUCCCGAAGUAGCUGCUCUCUACUUCCCCAAUAUCUACACCAAGCCAAUCAAACAGCAUUCCAUCAAUUCAGGAGGUGGAAGUGGCAGUGGUAAUGAUGAGGAUGCUGAGUCCGGAAACGGGCCGUCUCUGCCGCAGUCGCCGCACAGCGUGGAGGGGGCCAUCGGCGGACCCAAGUCACUCGACAGCGACUUCGAAGAACCAAAGCACGGCUUGUUCAAUUCCAAAGAAAUCGCUUUGUCUCUUUGCGGUGGGCUAGAGGGCCAAGAAGGUCCUUCAGAUCAGAUGUUCCAGGAUCAUAUUGUCCAUUUCGAAGAGUUUGUUGAUAACCCGGGACUCCUUGAGAACCCUAAUCUUGUUGUCAAAAUCGACGGCAAAAAUUACAAAUGGCGAACUGCGUGUUCUAUUCUUAUUGCGCGCCUUGUAUUCAACAAGUCAUUGCCUGAGGAUGUCAUAUCCAGACUGUCUGAUGCAUCACCCAGGCAGGACAAGAGGAAAGGCCAGCGCCGGGACUAUUACCGAUCUUGGUUCACAUGGGGAGUUCGAGCUUCAGACCCAGUUAUUCCUGGUGGUAAAGACGCAAUCAAAGAUCAAGCUGAAAACUCCUUAGACAUUUUGGAAGCAACCAAUAUCGACAAUAAGAUACUCCCGCAGGAGUCAGUAAUUGAAAGUAAGGCAAGCAGUGUCACUGAAGCACCUCAAGAAACAGGUUCAGAUGUGAUUGGUGUCCCUGACCAGGAGCCAGCCGUGAUUGGCGAGCAGGCGCCCACUGCUCUCUCAGUCGUUGAUUCGCCUACUCAAAAAUCUAGUCUCACCACCAUUCCUGUUGUACCCCGGUCAACCAAACCUCGUCCUGGUGAACAAGUGUAUUCAACAUCAUCUGAAUCUGAUUCAGAGUUGGACCGUAGGCAGAGAGUUUCAAAGACGCCCAGUCUCAGCAUUCCUCUGGACAGAACUCACCGCUCUGGUAGCACUGACAAGUUCAAGAAAACAUUGCGUCUCUCAUCAGAUCUCAUUGCCAAAUUGAAUCUGAGGGAGGGAGCGAAUGAGGUGGAGUUCAGUGUAACAACAGCAUAUCAGGGCACUAGCAGAUGCAAAUGUUUCCUAUUCAAGUGGCGCUAUGAUGAUAAAAUUGUGAUAUCUGAUAUUGAUGGUACAAUUACCAAGUCUGAUGUUCUGGGUCACAUCUUGCCCAUUGUAGGAAAAGACUGGGCUCAAAGUGGAGUCGCAAAGCUUUUUACCAAAAUAAAGAAUAAUGGUUACAAGCUGCUCUACCUCUCUGCGAGAGCCAUAGGUCAAGCACGACUCACUAGAGACUAUCUCAGGUCAAUAAAACAGGAAGAUUUAUCUCUUCCAGAAGGACCCAUACUACUGAAUCCUACUAGUCUUCUAACUGCAUUUCACACAGAGGUGAUUGAGAAAAAGCCUGAAGAGUUCAAGAUAUCAUGUCUUCGAGACAUUCAAGCUUUGUUCCCGCCUAGCUCCUGUCCUUUUUACGCAGGUUAUGGAAAUAAGAUUAAUGAUGUUUGGGCUUAUCAGGCUGUGGGAAUACCAAUAUUCCGAAUUUUCACUAUUAACCAUAAGGGUGAACUGAAACAUGAACUCACUCAGACAUUCCAGUCAUCUUACUCUGGCCAGAGUUGUAUAGUGAACGAUCUUUUCCCACCUCAGUACUUGGUAGCACAGACGUGCUCUGCACCCUAUUUGUUAGCAUCUCAGUGAUGCCCUCUUCUCAACACUGAUGUAUUGAUGCGAUGUGCUGACUGAGCGUCUCUAGUCGAUCAAAUAUCUAGUCAGUCUAGUGUGUUAGGGGACCGCUGAGAGCUGAUGUUCAACUCUUGAUCUGUUUCAGCAUUAAAAUUUGGUAUUCGAACAUGAGCUACAUAGUUGACCAGAUGUUCCCGGCGGCGCCUGUCAGAGCAAAUCUCGAGGACUUCUCGCAGUUCUCGUUCUGGCGAGAGCCCCUACCCGACAUCGACAUUCAAAACGAUCUGAUUCAGCCACACAAAUAACUCACCUGUCUGCUAGCUAUUUGUGAUUUUUAAUACGCAUUAUUACUUAUAUCUCCGUAAAUAGAGAAAUUCCCUUAGUUCCGCCAAGUAAUCGAUAUUAUAAAUUGUGAAAAGAAUCAAUGUUUGCAUAUUAGAAAUUAUUCUG